GGUGGUUCUCGGGUGACGCACCCUGGAAUCGGGCACCCUCCUCUCUGGUUCCGGGUGCAUCACCGGAGAACCGCA
This is a non-coding RNA of Myotis brandtii (Brandt's bat), 75 nucleotides long. Lineage: Eukaryota; Metazoa; Chordata; Mammalia; Chiroptera; Vespertilionidae. The record is from Rfam.